Molecule: ribosomal RNA, 484 nt
Filed under: uncultured bacterium
Lineage: Bacteria
Description: bacterial SSU rRNA
Rfam family: Bacterial small subunit ribosomal RNA
Source: RNAcentral
AAUGAACGUUGGCGGCGUGGAUUAGGCAUGCGAGUCGCGCGAGAAUGUAGCAAUACAGGACAGCGGCGAAAGGGAGAGGACAACAUGGGAAUCUGCCCUGGGGACGAGGAUAGCGUCGGGAAACUGACAGUAAUACUCGAUAAUGUUUGCGGACCAAAGGUGUGAUUCCGCCCCAGGAUGAGCCCGUGCCCCAUUAGCUUGUUGGCAGGGUAACGGCCUACCAAGGCUAUGAUGGGUAGCUGGUGUGAGAGCACGACCAGCCUCACUGGCACUGAGACACUGGCCAGACACCUACGGGUGGCUGCAGUCGAGAAUCUUUGGCAAUGGACGAAAGUCUGACCAAGCGACGCCGCGUGCGGGAUGAAGGCCUCGGUUGUAACCGACUGUCGUAGGAAGUCAAAUAGUAUUGGGGUACGUCCCCGUCCUACUUCGAGAGAUCCUAGGAGGAAGGAGAGGCGUAAGACUCGUGCCAGCACGCCGCGGU